AUUCGUGCCAGCAGUUGCGGUUAUACAAAUAAUAUAAUUUAAUUUAAUCAGUAGUAAUUAAUUAAUAAUAAUAAAAAUUUUAAAUUAAAAUUUAUAAGGUGAAAUUUUAAAUUUUAAUAAAAUUUGGUUUUUUUGAUAAAGUUAGAAAAUUUAGCUAAUAAACUAGGAUUAGAUACCCUAUUAUUCUAAAUGUAAAUUAAAAUACUAAAUUAGUAAUAGUUGAGUUCUAUAAAAUUAAAAAUUUUGGCGGUAUUCUAGUCUAUUCAGAGGAACCUGUUCUGUAAAUGAUAAUCCACGAUUUAAUUUACUUUUAUUAUUAGCUUGUAUAUCGUCGUAGUUGAAUAUUUCUUAAGAAUAAAAAUAUUUGAAAUUUUAGAUAAAAAAGUAAAUCAGAUCAAGGUGCAGCUUAUAUAAAAGAAGAAAUGGGUUACAAUAAGUUUAAUUAGGGAAUAUUAUUAUUAUAAUAAUAAGAAUUUGGAUUUGAAAGUAAAUUUAAUUAAUUAAUUAAAUUGACUAAGCUCUAGAAUAUGUACACAUCGCCCGUC
Molecule: ribosomal RNA, 545 nt
Filed under: Platyphora eucosma
Lineage: Eukaryota; Metazoa; Arthropoda; Insecta; Coleoptera; Chrysomelidae
Description: partial 12S ribosomal RNA
Source: RNAcentral